GAACGAGAAAGUGGAGCAAUCCAUGAGUAAAGUGGCGACCGGGUGAGUAACACGUGACUAACCUACCCUAGAGUGGGGGAUAACCUCGGGAAACCGGGGCUAAUACCGCAUAACAUCACGAGGGGAAGAUCCUUGUGAUCAAAGGAGCAAUUCGCUCAAGGAGGGGGUCGCGGCUGAUUAGCUAGUUGGCGGGGUAACGGCCCACCAAGGCUAAGAUCAGUAGCCGGCCUGAGAGGGCGCACGGCCACACUGGAACUGAAACACGGUCCAGACUCCUACGGGAGGCAGCAGUGGGGAAUUGUUCACAAUGGGCGCAAGCCUGAUGACGCAACGCCGCGUGGAGGAUGAAGUCCUUUGGGACGUAAACUCCUUUCGACCAAGACGAUAAUGACGGUACUGGUGGAAGAAGCACCGGCUAACUCUGUG
RNAcentral lists this ribosomal RNA (426 nucleotides) under uncultured bacterium. RNAcentral describes it as "bacterial SSU rRNA". It matches the Rfam family "Bacterial small subunit ribosomal RNA", at positions 64 to 507 of the family's 1533-position model. The record is from RNAcentral.